GACGAACGCUGGCGGCGUGCUUAACACAUGCAAGUCGAGCGGUAAGGCCCUUUCGGGGGUACACGAGCGGCGAACGGGUGAGUAACACGUGGGUGACCUGCCCUCAGCUCUGGGAUAAGCCUGGGAAACCGGGUCUAAUACUGGAUAUGACUCCAUGACGCAUGUUGUGGGGUGGAAAGCCUUGUGCGGCUGAGGAUGGGCCCGCGGCCUAUCAGCUUGUUGGUGGGGGAUGGCCUACCAAGGCGACGACGGGUAGCCGGCCUGAGAGGGCGACCGGGCCACACUGGGACUGAGACACGGCCCAGACUCCUACGGGAGGCAGCAGUGGGGAAUCUUGCGCAAUGGGCGAAAGCCUGACGCAGCGACGCCGCGUGAGGGAUGACGGCCUGG
Molecule: ribosomal RNA, 390 nt
Filed under: uncultured bacterium
Lineage: Bacteria
Description: bacterial SSU rRNA
Rfam family: Bacterial small subunit ribosomal RNA
Source: RNAcentral